Molecule: small nuclear RNA, 191 nt
Filed under: Dasypus novemcinctus (nine-banded armadillo)
Lineage: Eukaryota; Metazoa; Chordata; Mammalia; Cingulata; Dasypodidae
Description: U2 spliceosomal RNA (ENSDNOG00000033223.1)
Rfam family: U2 spliceosomal RNA
About the family: U2 is a small nuclear RNA (snRNA) component of the spliceosome (involved in pre-mRNA splicing). Complementary binding between U2 snRNA (in an area lying towards the 5' end but 3' to hairpin I) and the branchpoint sequence (BPS) of the intron results the bulging out of an unpaired adenosine, on the BPS, which initiates a nucleophilic attack at the intronic 5' splice site, thus starting the first of two transesterification reactions that mediate splicing.
Source: RNAcentral
AUUGUUUCUCAGCCUUUUGGCUAAGAUCAAAUGUAGUAUCUAUUCUUGUCAGUUUAAUACCUGAUAUAUCCUCUACCCGAGGACAACCUAUUAAAUGGAUUUUUGGAACUGGGAGAUGGAAUAGGGGCUUGCUCCAUCCAUUCCAUGCAUCGACCCAGUACUGUAGUGCUUCUAGAAUUAGUGUACCCCCA